Molecule: unclassified non-coding RNA, 182 nt
Filed under: soil metagenome
Description: partial internal transcribed spacer 1
Source: RNAcentral
CCGAGUUGCAAGACUCCCUAAACCCAUGUGAACAUACCUCUACGUUGCUUCGGCGGGACGCCCGGCGCCCAGCCGACCCUCCCCCCGGGGAUCGGGCCCCCGACCAGGGCGCCCGCCGGAGGAUACCCAAACUCUUGUACAUUCAGUAGAUUCUUCUGAGUAUUCUAACUGCAAAUAAGUCA